Molecule: ribosomal RNA, 733 nt
Filed under: uncultured Gammaproteobacteria bacterium
Lineage: Bacteria; Pseudomonadati; Pseudomonadota; Gammaproteobacteria
Description: bacterial SSU rRNA
Rfam family: Bacterial small subunit ribosomal RNA
Source: RNAcentral
GCAAGUCGUGCGAGAAAGUUCUUCGGAUAUGAGUAGAGCGGCGGACGGGUGAGUAACGCGUAGGAAUCUACCUAGUAGAAGGGGAUAGCCCGGGGAAACCCGGAUUAAUACCGUAUACCUCCUUCGGGAGAAAGAAGGCCUCUCUUUGAAGCUUUCGCUACUAGAUGAGCCUGCGUAAGAUUAGCUUGUUGGUGAGGUAAAGGCUCACCAAGGCUACGAUCUUUAGCUGGUCUGAGAGGACGAUCAGCCACAUUGGGACUGAGACACGGCCCAGACUCCUACGGGAGGCAGCAGUGGGGAAUAUUGGACAAUGGGCGCAAGCCUGAUCCAGCCAUACCGCGUGUGUGAAGAAGGCCUUCGGGUUGUAAAGUACUUUAGGCAGGGAGAAAAAGUUAUAAGUUAAUACCUUAUAACCCUGAUGUUACCUGCAGAAUAAGCACCGGCUAAUUCCGUGCCAGCAGCCGCGGUAAUACGGAAGGUGCAAGCGUUAAUCGGAAUUACUGGGCGUAAAGCGCGCGUAGGUGGUUUGUUAAGUUGGAUGUGAAAGCCCUGGGCUCAACCUAGGAACUGCAUCCAAAACUAACUCACUAGAGUACGAUAGAGGGAGGUAGAAUUCAUAGUGUAGCGGUGGAAUGCGUAGAUAUUAUGAAGAAUACCAGUGGCGAAGGCGGCCUCCUGGAUCUGUACUGACACUGAGGUGCGAAAGCGUGGGUAGCGAACAGGAUUAGAUACC